Molecule: ribosomal RNA, 450 nt
Filed under: uncultured bacterium
Lineage: Bacteria
Description: bacterial SSU rRNA
Rfam family: Bacterial small subunit ribosomal RNA
Source: RNAcentral
GUGGGGAAUCUUGCGCAAUGGGCGAAAGCCUGACGCAGCAACGCCGCGUGUGUGAUGAAGGCCUUCGGGUUGUAAAGCACUGUCAGGAGGGAAGAAACGCCUUGGGAUAAUACCCCGGGGCUAUGACGGUACCUCCGAAGGAAGCACCGGCUAACUCCGUGCCAGCAGCCGCGGCAAUACGGAGGGUGCGAGCGUUGUUCGGAAUCAUUGGGCGUAAAGCGCGUGUAGGUGGGCGGGUAAGUCAGGUGUGAAAGCCCAGAGCUCAACUCUGGAAUUGCGCUUGAAACUACUCGUCUUGAGUACGGGAGAGGGAAGCGGAAUUCUUGGUGUAGGGGUGAAAUCCGUAGAUAUCAGGAGGAACACCGACGGCGAAGGCAGCUUCCUGGACCGAUACUGACACUGAGACGCGAAAGCGUGGGGAGCAAACAGGAUUAGAAACCCCAGUAGUCC